Molecule: ribosomal RNA, 253 nt
Filed under: uncultured bacterium
Lineage: Bacteria
Description: partial 16S ribosomal RNA
Rfam family: Bacterial small subunit ribosomal RNA
Source: RNAcentral
UACGAAGGGGGCUAGCGUUGCUCGGAAUCACUGGGCGUAAAGCGCACGUAGGCGGGUUCUUAAGUCAGGGGUGAAAUCCUGGAGCUCAACUCCAGAACUGCCUUUGAUACUGGGAAUCUCGAGUCCGUGAGAGGUGAGUGGAACUGCGAGUGUAGAGGUGAAAUUCGUAGAUAUUCACAAGAACACCAGUGGCGAAGGCGGCUCACUGGCCCGGUACUGACGCUGAGGUGCGAAAGCGUGGGGAGCAAACAGG